UAAGCACCCCUGGGUUCAAUCCCUGGUGCCAAAAUAUAUAUAUAUAUAUAUACAUUUGUAAAUAAAAUAUAAAAAUAAUAUAUAUAGGACUGGGGCUAUAUAAUAUAAAAUAUAUAAAUAUAUAUAUUAUUAUUAUUUUUUGGUACCAGGGAUUGAACCAGGGGUGCUUA
RNAcentral lists this microRNA precursor (170 nucleotides) under Marmota monax (woodchuck). Lineage: Eukaryota; Metazoa; Chordata; Mammalia; Rodentia; Sciuridae. The record is from RNAcentral.